This 74-nucleotide transfer RNA is filed under the name Candidatus Hydrothermarchaeota archaeon. RNAcentral's name for it is "tRNA-Thr". It matches the Rfam family "tRNA". Rfam says of the family: Transfer RNA (tRNA) molecules are approximately 80 nucleotides in length. Their secondary structure includes four short double-helical elements and three loops (D, anti-codon, and T loops). Lineage: Archaea; Methanobacteriati; Candidatus Hydrothermarchaeota. The record is from RNAcentral.
GCCUCGGUAGCUCAGCCUGGUAGAGCGCUUCCUUGGUAAGGAAGAGGUCGCGGGUUCGAAGCCCGCCCGAGGCU